RNAcentral lists this long non-coding RNA (999 nucleotides) under Homo sapiens (human). RNAcentral describes it as "PREDICTED lncRNA (TCONS_00109122)". The record is from RNAcentral. Lineage: Eukaryota; Metazoa; Chordata; Mammalia; Primates; Hominidae.
CAGACCAAAUCACACCACUGGCUUUCCUGGUUCUCCAGCUUGCAGAUGGCAGGACUUCUUGGCUUCCGUAAUUGUGGGAGCCAAUUCCCCUAAUAAAUAUCUCGAGCAAGUUUGCCAACCUGUAUCUUAAUUCAUCUUUGUGGCCAGAGAAGUGGAUUUACUGAUUUGUUUCAGCUGAUCAAUGUCUAUAACAAGCAAUGUUGAUGGGCUGAAAACCACACAGACUACCAGAGGGGUUGCUUUUCCGAAGAAUCAUGUAAGGAUAAAAGAGAAAGAAAGAGAGAAAGACCUUGGAACCCAACUAGUAUCUACCAAAUAGACAGGAUCUCACUGUGUUGCCCAGGCUGGUCGCCAACUCCUGGCCUCAAGUGUUCCUCUGGCCCUGGCCUCCCAAAGCACUGGGAUUACAGUUCUCUUCAGGGAAUUUUGUCUGGUUCAAGAAGUCAUACCCCAACCCAAGAGAAGCCUUGGACAUCUCUCAUAAGACAUCCAAGGGACAGAGCUCCUGGGAGACCUAGAGUGAGCUGGAGAGUGAACAACAUACCCCACUGGGAAGUAAGCAGCCCUGGAUUCUGCCUCUUGCUAACUGAUUCGUUUCGAACCCUGUUUUUCUAUCUGUAAAAGGGACUGUAACUCCCCUGCCCCUGCCUAGAUUCUCAUACCUGGAGACUAGGGGGCUAAGACCCCUUCUAGAGAUAAAAAUAAAAGUCUUAAAGAGAAAGACCAAGAUGUUUGGCAGCCCUUUAAGAAGUUCUCUUUUCUCUUGGGGGCUUUUAGGCCACAAGAAAAGAUUGAUGUGGUCUAACCAUGGCCAGAGAGUGGUGAUACCCACAACGAAACUCAGACUCACGUGAUGCAGAGAACUGGUUGCAGAGAGCCAUGGUGCAGAGGAGGACAGCAAGGGCAGCAGUGGAGACCUGCAUGAUUCUGAGCAGGUGACGGAAUGUGGGCUCGAGUGUCAGCAGAGCCAAGAAAGGACUGACCACUGUCUGCUGCCCG